AUGGUCGGCCAUGUGGGAGUCCAGCGCCUUUAACCACCACGCCACUUGCCAGCCCCGAUAGCCACAACUUCUGACGUGCAACUGACCCUGGGCCCUUAGAGCAGCUGCUGUCUUCUGGUCCCUGCAGACCAGGUCCAACAGCCUGUGCUCUGUACUUCUUUCCCCCUAGUUUUCCUGAUUGGCCAACACCUCAGGAUGAUGCUGGGAGCUGAGGAGAACCUACCCUGCCCUAGACCUCCAGGAGGGAAGCAGAGUGGGUCCUGGAGGAUGAUGCAUCAUCCAGCAUGAAAGAGAGCCCAGCGAGAACACACGCCCUACGGCAAAAACCUCUUACAAAAAUAAUCAAGUGUGUGGUUUGCAGUAUGAGGACUGGGGAGCUCUGGCUUAGCUGACAAAAUCUGUAUCCCAGCUUCGAGAGCAUGUUUAUUACUGCACAUCAAUUCCCCAUCUGGCUGGAAAUAAAGUGUAAACCUCAUUGGCUACAAAUACCUCCUUGAACUUCAAGUUCAGAUUCUCUUUAUAAAGCCAACUAUAUGAAUGACAUUGAAGCAGUGAAGGGAUGAUGUCAAAGACUACACUAAUUUCAGUGGUAAGAAAAAAGUGCUCAUUCUGUUAUCAAACAUGAGAAUACUAACACUACAAAAGGACUUUUGAUUUCGUAAUUUCAAUUGAAGCUAUUAGAAAAGGGAUAUUACUGAGAACUUGUAUUGGCAGGAGAGUCUAUGUGCUCAUAAACCAAUCAGGACCUGUUUAAGUAAAGAACUUUUAAGAGAGGUUUUUGCUAUAGUGUGUAUGUGCUUACAAGAGAGACAGAGACAAA
Long non-coding RNA from Tupaia belangeri chinensis (Chinese tree shrew), 820 nucleotides. RefSeq lists it as uncharacterized. NCBI's taxonomy places the organism in Eukaryota, Metazoa, Chordata, Mammalia, Scandentia, Tupaiidae. The transcript has 3 exons. The record is from RefSeq and is a predicted model, not a curated record.